AACGAACGCUGGCGGCAUGCCUAACACAUGCAAGUCGAACGAGACCUUCGGGUCUAGUGGCGCACGGGUGCGUAACGCGUGGGAACCUGCCCUUAGGUUCGGAAUAACUCCCCGAAAGGGGUGCUAAUACCGGAUAAUGUCUUCGGACCAAAGAUUUAUCGCCUUUGGAUGGGCCCGCGUUGGAUUAGCUAGUUGGUAGGGUAAAAGCCUACCAAGGCGACGAUCCAUAGCUGGUCUGAGAGGAUGAUCAGCGACACUGGGACUGAGACACGGCCCAGACUCCUACGGGAGGCAGCAGUGGGGAAUAUUGGAAAAUGGGCGAAAGCCUGAUCCAGCAAUGCCGCGUGAGUGAUGAAGGCCUUAGGGUUGUAAAGCGCUUUUACCCGGGAUGAUAAUGACAGUACCGGGAGAAUAAGCUCCGGCUAACUCCGUG
RNAcentral lists this ribosomal RNA (433 nucleotides) under uncultured bacterium. RNAcentral's name for it is "partial 16S ribosomal RNA". It matches the Rfam family "Bacterial small subunit ribosomal RNA", at positions 29 to 507 of the family's 1533-position model. The record is from RNAcentral.